Molecule: ribosomal RNA, 443 nt
Filed under: uncultured bacterium
Lineage: Bacteria
Description: partial 16S ribosomal RNA
Rfam family: Bacterial small subunit ribosomal RNA
Source: RNAcentral
CCUACGGGUGGCAGCAGUGGGGAAUAUUGCACAAUGGGCGAAAGCCUGAUGCAGCAACGCCGCGUGAGUGAAGAAGGAUUUCGGCACGUAAACCUCUAUCAACAGGGACGAAAGAAAUGACGGUACCUGACUAAGAAGCCCCGGCUAACUACGUGCCAGCAGCCGCGGUAAUACGUAGGGGGCAAGCGUUAUCCGGAAUUACUGGGUGUAAAGGGAGGGUAGGCGGCAAGGUAAGCCAGAUGUGAAAGGCAUGGGCUAAACCCGAGGAUUGCAGUGGGAACUAUUAAACUUGAGUGCAGGGGAGGAAAGCGGAAUUCCUAGUGUAGCGGUGAAAUGCGUAGAUAUUAGGAGGAACACCAGUGGCGAAGGCGGCUUUCUGGACUGAAACUGACGCUGAGGCACGAAAGCGUGGGGAGCAAACAGGAUUAGAUACCCGAGUAGUC